UACGUAGGGUGCAAGCGUUGUCCGGAAUUAUUGGGCGUAAAGAGCUCGUAGGCGGUCUGUCGCGUCGGCUGUGAAAUCCCGGAGCUCAACUCCGGGCCUGCAGUCGAUACGGGCAGACUGGAGUUCGGCAGGGGAGACUGGAAUUCCUGGUGUAGCGGUGAAAUGCGCAGAUAUCAGGAGGAACACCGAUGGCGAAGGCAGGUCUCUGGGCCACUACUGACGUGAGAAGCGAAAGCAUGGGGAGCGAACAGG
This 252-nucleotide ribosomal RNA is filed under the name uncultured bacterium. RNAcentral describes it as "partial 16S ribosomal RNA". It matches the Rfam family "Bacterial small subunit ribosomal RNA", at positions 524 to 776 of the family's 1533-position model. The record is from RNAcentral.